RNAcentral lists this ribosomal RNA (406 nucleotides) under uncultured bacterium. RNAcentral's name for it is "partial 16S ribosomal RNA". It matches the Rfam family "Bacterial small subunit ribosomal RNA", at positions 30 to 526 of the family's 1533-position model. The record is from RNAcentral.
AUUGAACGCUGGCGGCAGGCCUUACACAUGCAAGUCGAACGAGUGGCGGACGGGUGAGUAAUGUCUGGGAAACUGCCUGAUGGAGGGGGAUAACUACUGGAUACGGUAGCUAAUACCGCAUACCAUCGGAGGUGCCCAGAUGGGAUUAGCUAGUAGGUGGGGUAAAGGCUCACCUAGGCGACGAUCCCUAGCUGGUCUGAGAGGAUGACCAGACACACGGAAACUGAGACACGGUCCAGACUCCUACGGGAGGCAGCAGAGGGGAAUAUUGCACAAUGGGCGCAAGCCUGAUGCAGCCAUGCCGCGUGUAUGAAGAAGGCCUUCGGGUUGUAAAGUACUUUCAGCGGGGAGGCGGUACCCGCAGAAGAAGCACCGGCUAACUCCGUGCCAGCAGCCGCGGUAAUUC